AGCGUAUAUUAAAGUUGUUGCAGUUAAAAAGCUCGUAGUUGAAUUUCGGGAUCAAUAUGUCGGUCGUGCCUUGGUACGUACUGGUAUCAUUGGUUUCUCCUUUCUGACGAACCAUGAUGUCAUUAAUUUGGUGUUAUGGGAAGUUAGGACUGUUACUUUGAAAAAAUUAGAGUGUUUAAAGCAAGCUAACGCUUGAAUACAUUAGCAUGGAAUAAUGAAAUAGGACGUUCGAUCCUAUUUUGUUGGUUUCUAGGAUUGACGUAAUGAUUAAUAGGGAUAGUUGGGGGCAUUAGUAUUCAAUUGUCAGAGGUGAAAUUCUUGGAUUUAUUGAAGACUAACUACUGCGAAAGCGUUUGCCAAGGAUGUUUUCAUUAAUCAAGAACGAAAGUUAGGGGAUCGAAGACGAUCAGAUACCGUCGUAGU
Molecule: ribosomal RNA, 423 nt
Filed under: uncultured Glomus
Lineage: Eukaryota; Fungi; Glomeromycota; Glomeromycetes; Glomerales; Glomeraceae
Description: SSU rRNA
Rfam family: Eukaryotic small subunit ribosomal RNA
Source: RNAcentral